AAUCCUGAAACCAGCAAUCACAAAGUCAGUUCCUCAUCAAGAGAUCAAAGUCAUUCAUUUUGGAUACAAUCAUAUUUUCAGGCUAAAGGGAAGGUUGGGAAGGUCAGGCAUUAGAAUGCUGGAGGAGUGUCCUUGGCAGAGAAGGACUAAGCCAGUGGAUCACAAACAUCCUGGAGAGCAGUGACUCUGUGAUUCCAUCACAAGAAUAUGAAGGACUGAGAAGAUCUCCAGCUCUGCCCAUUGCACCUUCCCAUUGAGAAGCAGCAUGGCACCCUGGUGGCAGGGGCUGAUACUCAGCCGGGCCAGGGUGCUCUCCUGUUAACCAUAACCAAGCUCACAGGACAUGGGAUGAGCCCACUGUGUGACACAGGGAGCGGGACACAGUCUGUUAAGUCUUGCACAGCCAUGCUCUGCCACGCAGGCAGGCCUUUCCUUGGCCUCCCUCUCCCUGUUCGUGCUCAUGUGAACAUCCACCUACGUGGAUAGACUGGGCUUUGGUUCAUUAUUGCUCUGUGAAUUCCUCGAACUUCCGCAUCUGCCCAACCUCCCCCACCCCAUUGUUUUCAUUGUGUUUCACCAAAUGGAAAUUCUAGAGUAAGCAUGUGAGUCCUCUCCCAAACUUGUUCACUGUUGAGAGUGCUAAAAUGCUAACCCCAGAUGCUAACUGAGGGGUAGGGUUACCUUAUCUUUAGAGCACUGCGAAUUGUAUGUUAAGUGGAACUUAAUGAAAAAAUAGUUAAUUGACCAACAUGAAUAUCCCCUGAACAGAAUCUCCCCUGAACAGAAUCCUACAAUGAAACUAAGGGAGAUAAAUAAAGCUGUUUACCUGAAAGCUCUCUCUAAUCAAGAUCCUUUGAAAUUUAUAAAACAUGGUCAAUAUUUGCACUGGACUUUGUAAAAAUAAAGCUUGAUAAGAGAAGAGUUUGAAGUGAAAUGCUGCCACUUUCUAUGCAAUAUUUGAUUUAAAUUUAAUUCCUAGAAACCUCAGAUGAAUGUGGUUCAUGUAUCAAAGCACUCAGCAUUAUUUAUCGCGGCCUUAAAUACACAGUGAGCUUACAUGUGAAUGAAUACAUAUAUUAUGUAUCUCUCUCUAUAUAUAUACUAUAUAGAUAAUAUAGUAUAUAUAUAUAUAUAGUGUAUAUAUACACUAUAUAUAUCGUGUAUACAUAUACUAU
Molecule: long non-coding RNA, 1175 nt
Filed under: Homo sapiens (human)
Lineage: Eukaryota; Metazoa; Chordata; Mammalia; Primates; Hominidae
Description: HSALNT0375208
Source: RNAcentral